This 1062-nucleotide ribosomal RNA is filed under the name uncultured bacterium. Its description in RNAcentral is "bacterial SSU rRNA". It matches the Rfam family "Bacterial small subunit ribosomal RNA", at positions 26 to 1112 of the family's 1533-position model. The record is from RNAcentral.
AGGAAGUGGCGGCUGCUUACCAUGCAGUCGAACGGUAAGGCCCUUCGGGGUACACGAGUGGCGAACGGGUGAGUAACACGUGGGUGAUCUGCCCUGCACUUUGGGAUAAGCCUGGGAAACUGGGUCUAAUACCGAAUAGGACUCCGGACUGCAUGGUCUGGGGUGGAAAGCUUUUGCGGUGUGGGAUGGGCCCGCGGCCUAUCAGCUUGUUGGUGGGGUGAUGGCCUACCAAGGCGACGACGGGUAGCCGGCCUGAGAGGGUGACCGGCCACACUGGGACUGAGAUACGGCCCAGACUCCUACGGGAGGCAGCAGUGGGGAAUAUUGCACAAUGGGCGCAAGCCUGAUGCAGCGACGCCGCGUGGGGGAUGACGGCCUUCGGGUUGUAAACCUCUUUCAGCACAGACGAAGCGCAAGUGACGGUAUGUGCAGAAGAAGGACCGGCCAACUACGUGCCAGCAGCCGCGGUAAUACGUAGGGUCCGAGCGUUGUCCGGAAUUACUGGGCGUAAAGAGCUCGUAGGUGGUUUGUCGCGUUGUUCGUGAAAACUCACAACUCAAUUGUGGGCGUGCGGGCGAUACGGGCAGACUGGAGUACUGCAGGGGAGACUGGAAUUCCUGGUGUAGCGGUGGAAUGCGCAGAUAUCAGGAGGAACACCGGUGGCGAAGGCGGGUCUCUGGGCAGUAACUGACGCUGAGGAGCGAAAGCGUGGGGAGCGAACAGGAUUAGAUACCCUGGUAGUCCACGCCGUAAACGGUGGGUACUAGGUGUGGGUUUCCUUCCUUGGGAUCCGUGCCGUAGCUAACGCAUUAAGUACCCCGCCUGGGGAGUACGGCCGCAAGGCUAAAACUCAAAGAAAUUGACGGGGGCCCGCACAAGCGGCGGAGCAUGUGGAUUAAUUCGAUGCAACGCGAAGAACCUUACCUGGGUUUGACAUGCACAGGACGCCGGCAGAGAUGUCGGUUCCCUUGUGGCCUGUGUGCAGGUGGUGCAUGGCUGUCCUCACCUCCUGUCCUGAGAUGUUGGGGUUAAGUCCCGCAACGAAGGGCAACCCUUGUCCUA